AAGUAUGAACAAUCUGCUUGUGAACCAAAUAAAUAAGGAAGAUUCAAAGGUUGGUGCAUUUUUAAUGAAAGGUGCGGGAGGAAAGGCUUUUUGUGCAGGAGGUGACGUGAA
This 111-nucleotide non-coding RNA is filed under the name Durinskia baltica. The record is from RNAcentral. Lineage: Eukaryota; Dinophyceae; Peridiniales; Kryptoperidiniaceae.